CUUGUUAUAUACGUGUUUUAUUCAUUUUUUGACUUCGCGUAUCUCUAACUCUCUUUUAUUCCCACACCAUUCUUUUCAUACAUAUAAAAUGCUGUUUGUUGUUUCGUCGAAGGAGUUUUAGCGAGAACGGGUUAGUCGUUGGUCAGGGGCAGAGUUCGACUAAUUUUUAACACAAGUGUCGCGCCAAUGCGACAUUGGGUUAAAGUUAAAAGAUUGAAGAUAAGCGAAACGCUUUAAUAGUUAUUCCUAAUAGAUUCAACGGGGGCGUUCCUCUAUCUUGAAAUUCCCUUCGAAGUACUUUUAUCUGUUUCAAUUAAUUCACCAGGUUUCACGUUCAAUUAACAAAAGCGUUUAAUUAAAAUGUUAACUACAGAACUUCAAAGUGUAAACACUUUGAAGCGAGAAUUGACAUCGCAAAAGAGGAGAAAACGGAGGAUUUUAACAUGUGAAGUCUGAAUGUUCCACCUUGGUGUCGCAGUUGCGCUAGUUCCGACAGAUGGAUAUCCGUUCCGACCUGGCUAAAGUGAAUAAGCAAUCUCUGAAUGCAAGUGCUGAAUACAAGUUUCGUAGGUCCUCUUUAGCAGACCAACUACAAAAGGCCGAAACAAACACGACGAAACUGUUAUUAAUGUUUCUCUGUAUCGUGAAAACGUCCGUGAAAGUGUUUCUUUAUUUUAAGAAAUUAUUAAAAUAAUGACGUCGUUGUUUCAAAGCAACUGGCGGGAAAUUUAAAACUGCACGAAAGAAAAGAACCGAGGGUACUUUUAAAAUCGUGUUCUUUUUAAACGUUUUUCUUUGACAGGCACGGGUAUCGAUUAAUGUAAUUCAAUAACGACUAAUAACGAUAUAACAGAAAAGAUUAUCCUAUAAACUCUUUUCUUAAUGUAGAAUAUCUUUAUUAUUUCGAGUAUUAAGCGAAAAUUGAAAACAUUGAAAAUAUCGCUGUUCCGAAUAAAAAUAUUUCGUCCAUAAAUAAAAAUUUGUAGAUUUAAAAAGAACCAAACAGCGCAAGAGAAACGAAAUAGAAUAUUAUCAAAUAGUAGAUGAAGUUAUUUAAGGAGUUAAUGCAAUUUAUCUAAUAACCUAAUAUAACCAUUCACUGUGCUGAUAGAACUAUUGGAUAGCUCUAUCUAACCUAGCUAAUAAACUUAUGGCAGCUCUAUAUGAGUACUUAACGAAGUUAUCUGAACGGCUAAUUAAACUACCUAAGAAAUUAAUGCAGUUACCUGAUGAACUGAUAAGCUUACGCAGGAAGAAAUCUGAAAUUUAUGAUCGAUGACUUUGUUACUUGUCAAUUUACUAAUAUUGCGAUUUGCUAAAUUUUGAAACUAAAUUCCACGAAUCGGAAGCGAUUUAAUCGUUUAAAGUAAAAUUAUAAAAUUAAAAAAGGGGAUAGGUAUGAUCUGUAAUUCUUUGCUUAUCAAUUCGUUAAUAUCAUUAAUUGGUAAUUUAUCGAUCAAGAGGUCUUCGAUGGUAACACAGCGUGAUUUAAAACUCUUGCAUGGUGCCUCAUAUUUUUAUAUACUAUUUUAUUUAUUCACCUGCACGGCAUACGGUCUAUUUACAGCAAUUAUUGGCUUCUAGUUUCUGGAUUAAAUUGAGAAACUGCAAUCGAUUACUCUGCUUUAUUUCUCACUACUAAGCGAACAAACUUCUAUUUAUUCUACCGAUACGACAAGCAAACUGCGAAUAGUACGCGUGAACAUAGGAAAUAUCCAAAGCGUAGUUACGUUCACAAUUCAAUAGGUAAAAGAAAUUUCUACUCAACCUUCACUUUUUACGUCAUACCCAUAAAAAUAUGAAUUCGGCAUAAACAUCGCACUCUGUGCAGACGAUGUCUGAUCUUCCGGUUUGUUUUACAAGUGACUGCGAGCGAGUUAGAUGCAGUGAUCCGACGAGGAAUCGCGACAAUACCAACCGAUUUACCAGCGAAUAAUACGGUUGAACACGAGUCAACUAUCGCAUAGAGACAAUCUCAAGGGUACACUGCCCGAGGAAAUAGAGACUAUUGACCUGUGAUGAAGCAUUGGUACCUCUGGAUCGAUUACACUCCAUACAGCAUCUUCGACCAUCUUAACAGCUAACUAGUGGAAAUACACACAUCGACUGACGAAAGUAUUCGAAAUUUCGCUGGCUCUGUAACGAGACGUAGCUAUCGUGUUU
This is a long non-coding RNA of Bombus impatiens (common eastern bumble bee), 2163 nucleotides long. RefSeq lists it as uncharacterized. The record is from RefSeq and is a predicted model, not a curated record. NCBI's taxonomy places the organism in Eukaryota, Metazoa, Arthropoda, Insecta, Hymenoptera, Apidae. The transcript is spliced from 2 exons.